Molecule: ribosomal RNA, 253 nt
Filed under: uncultured prokaryote
Description: partial 16S ribosomal RNA
Rfam family: Bacterial small subunit ribosomal RNA
Source: RNAcentral
ACGAAGGGGGCUAGCGUUGCUCGGAAUCACUGGGCGUAAAGGGCGCGUAGGCGGCCAAGUAAGUUGGGGGUGAAAGCCCGUGGCUCAACCACGGAAUUGCCUUCGAUACUGCUUGGCUUGAGACCGGAAGAGGUGAGUGGAACUGCGAGUGUAGAGGUGAAAUUCGUAGAUAUUCGCAAGAACACCAGUGGCGAAGGCGGCUCACUGGUCCGGUUCUGACGCUGAGGCGCGAAAGCGUGGGGAGCAAACGGGA